Molecule: unclassified non-coding RNA, 237 nt
Filed under: Hevea brasiliensis (rubber tree)
Lineage: Eukaryota; Viridiplantae; Streptophyta; Magnoliopsida; Malpighiales; Euphorbiaceae
Source: RNAcentral
CUCAAGCCUAAGAUUUUAGGCUACCAGUUUCAUGCCUCCAGAUACCAUGCCUUAGAAGCAGUCAAGUAGGCUUCGUACUCUUAUUAAUGAGGAUGGUAUGUAUUUCUAUCUUUGACGCAGAACCUCACAACAAUAUUAGGAAGCUUUGCACCAGACUCCAAGAUUAUAGGAAAGCAAAAACUUGAUGCAGAUGAUGCGGAUCUUAAAUAAGACCAAGUGGAAAAGGCUAACACCCAA